Phyllopteryx taeniolatus (common seadragon) is the source of this 1439-nucleotide RNA transcript. It is a transcript of the gene named RAP1A, member of RAS oncogene family a, with no coding region annotated. The record is from RefSeq and is a predicted model, not a curated record. Lineage: Eukaryota; Metazoa; Chordata; Actinopteri; Syngnathiformes; Syngnathidae. The transcript has 9 exons.
ACAAAUGCCUGAGCAUGGAGCGUUGUCAUUGGCUGAUCUUGGGCCAAUCAACGGCCGCCUUCCCGACCCUUCCGCACACUCGCGGAGUGUGAUUUCGGGCACACAAACCCUAGCAGCGGAACACGAGGCGCUGCUGAUCUCAAGCUUUGUGGCCCCUGCUGACCCUCAGCACCUGCCACUGACCUCUGUGCUGUGCGCAAAAGGAUCUCCCAGAUGUAGAGGGACUUGACAUCUGCAGCUGCUGUCUACACAACCCUCGUGGUGUCUCCUGAAGUUACCCACCAUGCGCGAGUACAAGCUAGUGGUGCUGGGUUCAGGAGGCGUGGGAAAAUCUGCACUGACAGUCCAGUUUGUGCAAGGAAUUUUUGUGGAAAAGUACGACCCGACAAUAGAGGACUCCUACAGAAAGCAAGUGGAAGUGGACGGGCAGCAAUGCAUGCUCGAGAUCUUGGACACGGCUGGAACAGAGCAGUUCACGGCCAUGAGGGACCUUUACAUGAAGAACGGCCAGGGUUUCGCUCUGGUCUACUCCAUCACGGCACAGUCGACGUUUAAUGAUCUGCAGGACCUCCGGGAGCAAAUCCUGCGAGUGAAGGACACGGAGGAUGUCCCCAUGAUCCUGGUGGGAAAUAAGUGUGACCUGGAGGACGAGCGUGUGGUGGGCAAGGAGCAGGGUCGGAACUUGGCCCGUCAGUGGAGUAAUGUCGCCUUUUUAGAGACGUCGGCGAAGUCAAAGAUCAAUGUGAAUGAAAUUUUCUAUGACCUGGUGCGACAAAUCAACAGAAAAGCACCGAUGGAAAGGAAGCCAAAAAAGAAGAAGGGCUGCACACUUCUCUAAGAACCGCCACACAGACACACGCACACACGCACACAAAUCCGGGCUCCGGGCUCCGGGCUCCGGGCCAGACCUGUCUGUUCGUGGACCCUGCCAACAUUCCGAGUCCUCUCUGAAAGCUGAAACAUGGCGGGAGUCGCCAUGUUUGGAAAUCCUGCUCUCCAAAAAACAAAACAAAAAAAAAAGUUGUUUCACCGCAUCAUCAUAGUUACUUUUAGUGAUCGAAAGAGAACCAUGUUUGGGAUUUAAAGUGUACUGUCAAAACUCAAUGUAGUUAAACGUUGGCCUUACAUUUGUGCACUAACAGUGACGACGACGACGCGUCCUUGCUCUCGACUUACUCUCCUACUUUGCUAACCUAUUUCCUAAGUGACUUGGUUUUAUAAUGAGCCGAAAGCCUUCUAAUAUAUUCAAGUCAUGUUUUGGCAUAAAGUUGAGGACGUAACUGUUUUAUAGAGGGUGCCUUUGUGAUUUUACUAGACCACCUCCAAUAUUGCUUCUUGUGUCUCUUGUCAGAUGGCUUUUCCAGCUUUUAUGAAAUGAUACAAAUUGAGUAUGUUUGAACUAUUUUCUGUCCUGAUGAUUAAAAAUGACUUGUUUGUUA